UAUCGAUAAGCCAUUGGAGGGCAAGUCUGGUGCCAGCAGCCGCGGUAAUUCCAGCUCCAAUAGCGUAUAUUAACGUUGUUGCAGUUAAAAAGCUCGUAGUUGAAGUGAGGGAGUGUGUGUUGUGAUCGAAUCGAUCGAGAGCAGUACAACCUCCCCCUUCCAAUGGGUGUAUUGGGGUAUUCAUUUACUUCAUUACUCCUUUGGUCGUUUACUGUGAGAAAAUUAGAGUGUUCAAAGCGGGCGUUUGUUUGAAUAGAUUAGCAUGGAAUAAUGAUUGAAGGCUUUCGUGUUCGAUUUGAUUGGUUUGUUCAUGGAAGCAAGGUUAAAAGGAACAGUUGGGGGUAUUCAUAUUCACUAGUUAGAGGUGAAAUUCUCGGAUUUAUGGAAGAUGAACAAUGCCGAAAGCAA
RNAcentral lists this ribosomal RNA (408 nucleotides) under Blastocystis sp. subtype 2. RNAcentral describes it as "SSU rRNA". It matches the Rfam family "Eukaryotic small subunit ribosomal RNA", at positions 535 to 954 of the family's 1831-position model. The record is from RNAcentral. Lineage: Eukaryota; Bigyra; Opalinata; Blastocystidae.